RNAcentral lists this ribosomal RNA (449 nucleotides) under uncultured bacterium. RNAcentral describes it as "bacterial SSU rRNA". It matches the Rfam family "Bacterial small subunit ribosomal RNA", at positions 354 to 796 of the family's 1533-position model. The record is from RNAcentral.
GUCGAGAAUUUUUCACAAUGGGCGAAAGCCUGAUGGAGCGACGCCGCGUGGGGGAUGAAUGGCUUCGGCCCGUAAACCCCUGUCAUUCGGGAGCAAUGCAACCGGCAUAAUACGCUGGUUGUUGAUAGUACCGGAAGAGGAAGGGACGGCUAACUCUGUGCCAGCAGCCGCGGUAAUACAGAGGUCCCAAGCGUUGUUCGGAUUCACUGGGCGUAAAGGGUGCGUAGGCGGUCGCAUAAGUCUGAUGUGAAAUCUCGGAGCUCAACUCCGAAACUGCAUUGGAUACUAUGCGGCUCGAGGUUGGGAGGGGGGACUGGAAUUCUCGGUGUAGCAGUGAAAUGCGUAGAUAUCGAGAGGAACACCAGUGGCGAAGGCGAGUCCCUGGACCAAUCCUGACGCUGAGGCACGAAAGCCAGGGGAGCAAACGGGAUUAGAUACCCCGGUAGUCC